Molecule: transfer RNA, 72 nt
Filed under: Marmota monax (woodchuck)
Lineage: Eukaryota; Metazoa; Chordata; Mammalia; Rodentia; Sciuridae
Description: tRNA.Leu
Source: RNAcentral
UGGGCUGUAGCUCAUUGGUAGAGUGCCCCCCUCAAAUGUGUGAGGCACUGGGUUCAAUAUUCAGCACCACAC